This 158-nucleotide small RNA is filed under the name Photorhabdus asymbiotica. RNAcentral's name for it is "Glm Y RNA activator of glmS mRNA". It matches the Rfam family "Glm Y RNA activator of glmS mRNA". From Rfam's summary of the family: This family consists of a number of bacterial RNA genes of around 167 bases in length. The record is from RNAcentral. Lineage: Bacteria; Pseudomonadati; Pseudomonadota; Gammaproteobacteria; Enterobacterales; Morganellaceae.
AGUUGCUCAUUCAGCUUCUUAUGUUGGCCCACAUCGGUGGAAACAUGCCACAUAAACUAUCGAAUGAUGCCAGAGUAAGGUGCCUACCGUCCAACUCAGUGAUAUCGCUUUCGGGCCUUAUCAAACAUCGGGCGACACGUGGAGUGAGGCACCACCUA